UACGUAGGGUGCAAGCGUUGUCCGGAAUUAUUGGGCGUAAAGAGCUCGUAGGCGGUCUGUCACGUCGGCUGUGAAAACCCGAGGCUCAACCUCGGGCCUGCAGUCGAUACGGGCAGACUAGAGUUCGGUAGGGGAGACUGGAAUUCCUGGUGUAGCGGUGAAAUGCGCAGAUAUCAGGAGGAACACCGGUGGCGAAGGCGGGUCUCUGGGCCGAUAUUGACGCUGAGGAGCGAAAGCGUGGGGAGCGAACAGG
RNAcentral lists this ribosomal RNA (253 nucleotides) under uncultured bacterium. Its description in RNAcentral is "partial 16S ribosomal RNA". It matches the Rfam family "Bacterial small subunit ribosomal RNA", at positions 524 to 776 of the family's 1533-position model. The record is from RNAcentral.